Lathyrus oleraceus (garden pea) is the source of this 88-nucleotide small nucleolar RNA. The record is from RefSeq and is a predicted model, not a curated record. NCBI's taxonomy places the organism in Eukaryota, Viridiplantae, Streptophyta, Magnoliopsida, Fabales, Fabaceae.
GAGCAGAUGAUGAAAAGAAGUGAUUAAUUGCUUAUUGGUUAUUCCAUGAAGCUAUCAUCAUAAUCGAGCUUUUUAAAACUGAUGCUCA